Molecule: ribosomal RNA, 209 nt
Filed under: uncultured bacterium
Lineage: Bacteria
Description: partial 16S ribosomal RNA
Rfam family: Bacterial small subunit ribosomal RNA
Source: RNAcentral
UGCGUAGGCGGCCCUUUAAGUCGGAUGUGAAAGCCCGCGGCUUAACCGCGGAAUGGCAUUCGAAACUGGAGGGCUUGAGUGUCGGAGAGGGUAGUGGAAUUCCCAGUGUAGCGGUGAAAUGCGUAGAUAUUGGGAGGAACACCAGUGGCGAAGGCGACUACCUGGACGAUAACUGACGCUGAGGCACGAAACGCUAGGGGAGCAAACAG